UUCCCCUUCAGACUGGGCCAACCAUGGGCUGGGGGGACUGGGGACACCCGUGUCCCUCCCCCAGCCCCACAGGGGCCAAUCCUGCUUAAACCUUUGCUCUCCUUCCCCAGCCGAUCGCGGGACAAGGAGGAGGUGGAUGUGUUGGGGGAGGCAUGAAUGUCCAUCGAGUGAAGAGGUCUGAGCCCCCCGUGGCUGACUUGGUGGAGUUGCUGCGCGAAUGACGCUCGGCUGCCUCUCUGCAUGUCCAGG
Long non-coding RNA from Neopelma chrysocephalum (saffron-crested tyrant-manakin), 249 nucleotides. RefSeq lists it as uncharacterized. The record is from RefSeq and is a predicted model, not a curated record. The transcript is spliced from 3 exons. Lineage: Eukaryota; Metazoa; Chordata; Aves; Passeriformes; Pipridae.